GUCGAGAGAUCCUGCGCCGAAGAUGUCCGGGGCUAAAACUUACCACCGAAGCUAUGGAUGUGUCGUAAGACACGUGGUAGAGGAGCUUUCUAUACAGGUUGAAGCCAUACCGUAAGGAGUGGUGGACAGUAUAGAAGUGAGAAUGCUGGCAUAAGUAGCGAGAAACAGGUGAGAAUCCUGUUGGCCGAAUAUCUAAGGUUUCCUGGGGAAGGCUCGUCCUCCCAGGGUUAGUCGGGACCUAAGCCGAGGCCGAAAGGCGUAGGUGAUGGACAACUGGUUGAUAUUCCAGUACCACCACAAUGCGUUUGACAAAUGGGAUGACGCAGAAGGAUAGGAUGUGCGCACUACUGGUUGUGCGUCUAAGCACUUAGGAUGUUGAGUAGGCAAAUCCGCUCAACGUAAAGUCUGAGGUGUGAUGGGGAGCCAAUCUUUGGCGAAGUAUCUGAUUCCAUGCUGCCAAGAAAAGUCUCUAUGGAGCAAAGUGGUGCCCGUACCGCAAACCGACACAGGUAGAUGAGGAGAGAAUC
Ribosomal RNA from Clostridium colicanis DSM 13634, 527 nucleotides. It matches the Rfam family "Bacterial large subunit ribosomal RNA", at positions 1148 to 1680 of the family's 2925-position model. The record is from Rfam. Lineage: Bacteria; Bacillati; Bacillota; Clostridia; Eubacteriales; Clostridiaceae.